GAUGAACGCUGGCGGCGUGCUUAACACAUGCAAGUCGAACGGACGAUGAAGAGCUUGCUUUUCAGAGUUAGUGGCGGACGGGUGAGUAACGCGUGGGUAACCUGCCUCAUACAGGGGGAUAGCAGCUGGAAACGGCUGAUAAAACCGCAUAAGCGCACAGCAUCGCAUGAUGCAGCGUGAAAAACUCCGGUGGUAUGAGAUGGACCCGCGUCUGAUUAGCUAGUUGGUGAGGUAACGGCCCACCAAGGCGACGAUCAGUAGCCGGCCUGAGAGGGUGACCGGCCACAUUGGGACUGAGACACGGCCCAAACUCCUACGGGAGGCAGCAGUGGGGAAUAUUGCACAAUGGGGGAAACCCUGAUGCAGCGACGCCGCGUGAAGGAAGAAGUAUCUCGGUAUGUAAACUUCUAUCAGCAGGGAAGAUAAUGACGGU
Molecule: ribosomal RNA, 433 nt
Filed under: uncultured bacterium
Lineage: Bacteria
Description: bacterial SSU rRNA
Rfam family: Bacterial small subunit ribosomal RNA
Source: RNAcentral